Molecule: long non-coding RNA, 1599 nt
Organism: Cyprinus carpio carpio
Lineage: Eukaryota; Metazoa; Chordata; Actinopteri; Cypriniformes; Cyprinidae
Source: Ensembl
ACGUCACAGAUUAAUUUCUCUCUCAGCGGAUGGCUGCUGCAACAUAUUGUAAUACUUUAUUAUUGCUUUUUAUAGCAAAAUAUAAUAUAAAGUAUAUAAAAAUGUUAUCAGCACGAUGGUAUAAAACUGUACAUUUCUAGUCUGUUACCACCCACUGCCACUUAUACCAACGACGGAAAUAAGCGCAGUUACAAUAGCUAAAUAUGUGGGAGAGCGUUGCUAUUAAGUGACUAUAUUGUAUUGCAAUAGGUAGCACUUCAAAGUUAAUAUUGAAUCAAGAUUAGUUAGCACAUAAUUAAUAAUUGAAAUGGUUUAAUAACAAUAUUUUGUUAUGGUUACACUUGAAUUGGUUACAAAAUAGAUGAAGGAUAGUAAAACAUAUAGUUAAUUGUACCUAACAUGUAUGUAAAAUAUUACCUGAGAGAGAAAGAGAGAGGGGAAGAUGGAAAGAGGGAGAAAAAAUAGGGAGAGAGGGCAGAGCCCUGAGAAGAGAGCUCCAGCAAAGAAAAGCCAGCAGAGAGAAAGAGACAGAGCAACAUUUACAGUCUUCUUUUAUCCCUUCCUUGACCAUGUGACUGAAACCCAAAUGUGAGACAUUCAAACUGACCAAUCAGCAGACUACAGCUUCACCCACUGUGCAAAAGGUGUGACAAUUAGCAGACCCCCGAUGUAUAAACAUGUUGGCCUACAGGCCUUGAUCGAUAUCAGCAAUUCUGUGUCUUCAGGAAUGCCAAAUGGCCCUUUUGUUACUCAAAAUAGUUUGGGACAGGAAAACAGAAGUCUUUGAUAAUUUUUGACCCUACAGUUCCCCCCUUGGCACCGUUGGCCACACCUAAAGAGGCAAAAGGUGACACAGUCCAUAGAAAUAUGAUUUCUGUUGUGUGCAGAUGUCAUCUUCAGACUUCUGGUCCAGACGUGUUGCAGUUGCAGCUGGUCAGUCUUUGUUCUCCUUUCAGCCCUGUGUGAGAGAUCUUCAUCAGAUGGUGUUGCAUCCUUAUAUGCAAAUCGUCCAUCGAAUACUUCACACCUCCACAAGAGCAGGCACUGAAGUGGGGUAGAACCCCAGUGUUCCUCUUUCUGAAGCAGGACACGGGAUGUGAACUUAUGCAGCAGGGAUCAUGUGAUUUAAAAAGAACAUAUGGCACAACAAACAGCAAAAAUAACAUGGCAUUUAGCAUUGGUCAGACAUUUGAUGUGGUCAGAUUGAAUUUGUCUCUGGCAAAAGGCCCUUAAAUUGAUGUACUUAAAAAGAUGGUCAAGGUGAGAACAAAAGAUGAUCUUAAAAGCUCUUAAACUGUUUUUGGAAACAUAAAAAUAAUUAAUAAUAAUAAUAAUAAUAAUAAAAAAUAAUAACUAUUGUUAACACCCCCUUCAUCAGUAAGAGUAUCAGCAAAUAUUCAGUGUGACCAAAUACAGAAAUUAAAAUGUUCAAAAACAAUCAUUGUUGCAACUGAAAUGAACAACAUACAAAGAAACAGAAAUCAAAUUAAUUACAUGACAUAUCAAUGAAAAUGUUUGUACUUAGGGAAGAAUGAGAAAUACUAAUUUACAUCUCAAACUUGAGGAACAAACUAAGUGAUUAGGUAAACCCAAAGAAAA